This 495-nucleotide ribosomal RNA is filed under the name uncultured bacterium. RNAcentral's name for it is "bacterial SSU rRNA". It matches the Rfam family "Bacterial small subunit ribosomal RNA", at positions 29 to 532 of the family's 1533-position model. The record is from RNAcentral.
AACGAACGCUGGCGGCGUGCUUAACACAUGCAAGUCGAACGGGUUUAAUGGAUGUAGCAAUACAUUCAUUAAAUUAGUGGCGCACGGGUGAGUAACACGUAGGUAACCUACCCUUCAGUGGGGGACAACAGAGGGAAACUUCUGCUAAUACCGCAUACGAUCACGGACUGGGAUGUUCGUGGUGAAAGGAUUUAUUCGCUGAGGGAUGGGCCUGCGGCCUAUCAGGUAGUUGGUGAGGUAAUGGCUCACCAAGCCUGCACGGGUAGCCGGACUGAGAGGUCGAUCGGCCACACUGGAACUGAGACACGGUCCAGACUCCUACGGGAGGCAGCAGUGGGGAAUAUUGCACAAUGGGGGAAACCCUGAUGCAGCGACGCCGCGUGGAGGAUGACGGCCUUCGGGUUGUAAACUCCUUUUGUCAGGGACAAUGGUGAUGGUACCUGUACGAUAAGCCACGGCUAACUCUAGUGCCAGCAGCCGCGGUAAGCGUAGCGU